Molecule: non-coding RNA, 408 nt
Organism: Pantherophis guttatus
Lineage: Eukaryota; Metazoa; Chordata; Lepidosauria; Squamata; Colubridae
Source: RefSeq, a predicted model, not a curated record
CAAUUCGCUGCAAUCUGUAACUCCUCGCAACUCCAGCACAAAGGAGGCAGCUGCAAGCUAAUGCUGGGGUAAAUAGAAGGAAAGAGAAGGGGACGACUAGCAGCAAGGUGGAUGGACUCAGUUACAACGGUGAUGGGUGCACCCUUGGAAGACCUGAAAUUCUAGAGCUCUCCGAUUGCCUUGAUGCUGGCCCUGACUCCCACUCCGCCUCCUCAUCGGAUUCGGCUGCUGGAGAGGCCGGUGGCCGACAGCUCCACAACAACCAAAAGUUGGGGGCCCUGAUCUAAAGUAAUGUUUCGUCUCCAUGAAUUGCCUUCUCUUUUAUAAAAAAACAACUUUUCUAAGCAAACGUGGUACAAUUUUCAGCAGGAGCACCUGCUUCAGGAGAAAACCGAGGCAUCCCAGGAC